Cyprinus carpio carpio is the source of this 5354-nucleotide long non-coding RNA. NCBI's taxonomy places the organism in Eukaryota, Metazoa, Chordata, Actinopteri, Cypriniformes, Cyprinidae. The record is from Ensembl.
CACUUGACCUGCCGAGAAAUAAUACAACAGUGGACAAAGAAGAUGACAACUAUGAUGGCAAUGGUAAAGGCAAUGUUUUACCCUUUAGAAGUCUAAAGUUUUGAUACUAUUUCACCUUACAAAAAAAGAAAAAAAAAAAACCUUCAGUUAUCUUUUUUACAUGUAUUCAGGUUUACCUGGCUGGGGGAUUGCUUUAACUGUGGUUGUGGCUGUUGGUGCAUUUAUCGUUUUGUUCAUUGGAAAAAUGUGAGUGCCUUUUGUAAAGUUGAGUUUAACAUGUAAGGAUGUUGUUUUCCUUCUGUCUUAUUAGAAGAAUUAAAUAUAAUUUUAUUCAUAACUGGUGAAAUUACAUCACAGUUUUUGUUUGUGUCAUGUACAAAUUAUUUUAUUUUGACAGAAAGACUUCUGACUGUUUUAACCCUAUAGGGCACUGCUUCUGUGAAAAUGAGAUUGUGUGGCGUAGAGGCAAUGCUUUGUGCCUUCAAGCAAAUCACCUCAUGUCAGCUCAGGGACUGUGCCUGGAACACGUUAUUUGGAAUCAUUCUGUUUGUGUACUCGAACAUCAAACUGACAUUAGGAGCAUCUGUUGUCUUGCAAUGCAAUGGGACGAGACAGAACGAUGGACAGUUCCUCUUUGUCAUUUUGUAUAACAUUAAAGAGUACUUCAGUGACUGCGAGAAACAAUGGCUUGUCAAUGGAACUCUGACAGGUCUUUUUGAGGAAGGAAAUCCAUCUUUCAUCUCUCCUAUUACAAACCUGACCGCAAGCACUGCCACUCUGCAGGCCUGUCCUGAAAAUCUUGAGUGUCUGCUCUCCUGCCCCACUGGCAAAGUAAGUGUGAAAUUGUUUGUGAUAAAUGUUUUAUUGCUUUUAUGUUCUGCUAGGCCAUCAAAUGAAAUGUCAUUGAUAUUUAGUAGCAUAACUGAACUGACAUUGCUUUGCUUUAUGCUUAUUUUUAUUUAUUUUGCAGAUCAAUGAAAAGCAACUGUGCUCUUGUAAGUAACUGAUUUAUACUAUUUUCUAAACAUGGCUGCAGAUCUUGACAGAUACUUCUUAUUCUAAGAAUUUUCUGUCUGAACACAAGAAAAGACGUGUUCCUGUACAGUAGUUUAAAAAGUAGAGCAGGGUGCUAGUGAGAGAAAUGACCAUCUGGCUUUUGUUGUGGCCAGAUGUAGUGAAUGUGUAAAGGAAGUUAUGAGUAAGUGAAAGCAGCAUAUUGAACAGUAUGACUAAGCUCUUUGUAGAUUUGUCUUUCUGCCAAAUUUACACUACAGACUAAACAUAGAUGUUAGUUCUCAUGAUGUGAACUGUAAUAAAUGAGUAUUUAUUAAUUCUGUACACCCUGUUUAACACAUAGUAAUAUCAAGUUACUCAAAACAAAGGAUUUGAUGUUUUAUUGCCCUAAUACAUGCACUGAGUAAAAUAACACUGUAUUGCAGGUGAUAUCAGCACUCCGACUUCACUUUCUGAAGGUAAGAUUCAACUGCUUAUGCUAUAGUGCUAAUUUCUGUCAAGCUACUGUAAGGGAAGUUGGAAAUAAUUAGUUACGAAUGAGUUGCACAUUUUCUUUAAGCAAAAAUAGGUUUUUUAGACCAACAAACUUGUAGCCUAUCCUGAUUCAUAAGGCAGUAAUCAUCCUUCCAGCAAAAUAGAGGGUAGUGGCCGACUACUACUUAUUGACUUUGAUUCUGGAGCUAUUUUGUUUUCUUCACAGAUAUAUUAGGGAUAUAUUAAAAUUCUUCAAAAAAAAUUUUGAACCAAACUAUCCAGCUCUGAGAUGAGAUGAAUCACAAAAUUACAACUUUCAUUUACAGCACAAUGUUUCAGAAAAUCAAAGGAGGAAAGAGGCAAAAGUGUUUGACUUUUGAGGCAAUAACCUACACGUUACUUGAAGCACUGCAAAUGACAGAUUCAAAUCAAAAAUGCUGGUACAAUAUAAAAUAUGAUUUUAAAUAUAGAUUUAGCAAUUAACUUCACAAAUAUGGUAUUACAAGACUAAUACAAAGACUAUAGAAUACCCAAGAUGUGUCACUCGUAUAGAAUUGAAUGGGGAAAAAUGCAAAGCUCAAUAUGGCUGCUCUAUCAAAGGAAGCCCCAUCUUCUGAAUAAAAGAGCCAAUCACAAAUCGGUAAGUCAAUGCGGUAAAGUCAGCGCGUCACUGCAAUUGUCAUUAUUUAGAAGUCAGAAAUCCUGGUUGCUAUAGAAACAGUCAGCGUUCUGAGACGUGCUCUUAGGACUGCUCAUGUGCACUGGCUGGUCUAGCCUGAAAAAUAAGCUUUUUUUUAAUGCUAUUUGAGCGAAAAGAAACAAUAUUUAUGAUACAGUUGUUGUCAUAUUUCAUUGGUGAUUUCAAAUAUGAAAUUUAAUCAUAAGCUUGGUGAACAGUUUUGGGGAAUUUGAUGUUUCUCCAUUCAAAGAGAUAGGAGCUGCAUUUGUAUGCCCAAGAGGCAUUUCAAAGAUGACUGCCGAGUGACAUGACUUGUUUGUUUGUUUUUCCAGUGGGUUAUCUUGACUGGAGCGUUGGUAUUUGGACUGGAGUGAGUGUGUCUGUGGUUCUGUUGGUGUCUGUGAUUAUCACCAUUGUACUUUAUAAGAUUAAACAAAGGUGAGGUCCUCUAAAAAUGUGGAGAUUUAGUCAUACACAGUGCUUUUAUUAAAUACUGGCAUGAACAAGCUAAAGACAUAGGUCUGUAUAAUAUUUGUCUUUUAAUAUUUGUGUAAUCAUGGAUGAUUCUGUGUUAAUAGGUCAAGAUUUGGCCCUAGUGUUCCAGUUCCUGCUGAACAGAUUGUUUUAUUCUGGUAUGUACUGUAGCAUCAGUAGUCUGUGUGUAUGAAUGAUGCAAAUCAUUACCUUUAAUCUUAUAUUUUUAAAUAUACAUUAUAUUUGGUAGUCAACUACAGUAUAAAACAACAGCUUCUAAAAAGCUUUCACCUUUUUUUUUUGACCACAGAAGAUGUUCCAUCAUCACACCUGGACCUUUUAUCUUCAGUUAUUCAUUCUUUGUACUCCAGAAGUAAUCUUUUUAUAAUUUCCAUCAUUUAUGUAGCAUUAGCUCUAUUAUUCUGUGUGUGUUGGCUACAUUUAGCAUCUCAGUGCUUUAUAGCUUGUAGGAUUUUGUUCAUCUUUUAAAAUAAAUUAUGACACUAACCUAAAUGAAGUUACAAGAAAUAGUGAUAUUAUUUAGUUAUAAAUGAUAUAAUCAUAUAUUUAUAUAUAAGUACUGCAUGUGUCCACCAAUGAUGUGAACAUAUUAUAAUGUGUACUAAAAAUGUUUUAUCAUAAAAGUGAAUUUUAUGUCUGUUACACAAAUGGCACAUGCUCAGCAUUUAUAUUUAUUUAUAAUAUAUAUAUAUAUAUAUAUAUAUAUAUAUAUAUAUAUAUAUAUAUAUAUACAUAUACAUUAAUAUUAUUUUUUUUUAUAUAUAUAUAUAUAUAUAUAUAUAUAUAUAUAUAUAUAUAUAUAUAUAUAUAUAUAUAUAUAUAUAUAUAAUAAAAAAUAAUAUAUUUUAUUAAAAAUGAUAACUUAACACAGGUAACUAUGUAUUCUUAUUAAUAUAUAUAUUUAUCGCUGGUCUGUUUGGUUAGUGGGAAGGAACUAGGCAGAUAGCAUGGCACUUAGUGAGCGUAAAACACACGGCAUCACUGUGGCUAGGGUUUAUUGUACUGCUGAAGCAAAUUAACUGUAUUACCAGGGCAAGUAUUUUCUAUAAACUGCUGCUGUGGAAGCAAAAUGAAAUGAAAUGCUGUGCCAGUGAGUUCACAAAUCUAAUACAUUACUAGUCAAAUCCACUCAGCACCUGCCACUGCUUCAGAUCUGGCCUUAAAUAUGAAUGUGUGUUAAUAAACAAGUAAUGUAGUACAAAUGUAGUAGAUCUACAAUCUAAAUAAUCUACAAUUUAAUUAAAGUUGGAGAUGUUUGAACUGAAAUUUUCUCUGUAUGCCAUGCUAUUUGCUGAUGAAGUACUCCUCAUAUUGACCUGGGAACUUCCCACUAGUCUGUACGGUGGCCACUGAUUUAUGAUGAUGUGUCCGCUAUCACUUUGUGGUACUGCUGUAGAUUUUAGCAGAUUUGUGUCAAAUGUCUGUUAGAUGAAAGCUUUAUAUGUGUCAUAACUGAUAUGUUAUAAUAUACGCUUGGCUAUUGUAUUGCACUGCAUCCUCUUUGAAAUGACUUCUGCCUUAAAGCACUUAAAACUGCGGUCUAGGUGAAGAAUCUUCUUUUCUGUUAAUAAAAUGCUUUAAAAACAUUUUGAUGUAUAGCUGAUUGAUUUCUCCAUUGUUCAGCACUUAAGAAGAGAAGAGCAGCACUGUGAGGGUUGUGUUUGCUCAAGUCAAUACCUCAUUAUGUCAUCUGACAGAUAGCUGAUGUGCACAGAUAUGAAUAUGGGGGGCAGACUGACCUUGAAGUGGUCUUUGAGGUCUCCAGCUCAUUCAACACCCUGCCAACAAGAAACUCCCAGUGUCAAUCAGUUCUCCAUAUAUGAAAACUGAAUUUGAUCUCAAAUGCAAAUUUUCAAACUCAAAGUUUAGCCAUUUGAUUUCUUUGUUUAAUUGAUUCGCCAUGUUCUGUCCACAAAAAGGAUAGAGCAGGCUAAAAUCACCUGUUCUAAUUUGAUUGGCAGGCAGUUUCGCAACAUCCACGAUUCAGUCUACUGCACAGAUUUUUCUGCUGGGAAACAGUUUACAUGUUACCAGUAGCAACAGAAGAACAACUUAUGGUAAACGUUCACUUUUUUAAUCUAGCCACUCAUAUGCCAGAAAAAUAAUCACACCACUUUUUCUCCCCAUACUUUUUUUUUUUCAACAGGAAAAGCCAUCGUCAAUGGUUGCUCUGUUGCCUUUAAUAACCCCUUGAACAAUUUGCUUUGUCAUCCAGGAUUUUCAUACAGUCCAGACUCCACCUACUUCUUCACCACAAAACGGUCCAGGGUAAUUUUGAGGCUUCAGAGAAAUGUUGGCUAGUCUCACAUAGCCAUAAAUCUUGAGACCAAUUCCUUUGCUUUAUCUUAGUGUUUAAUAUUUUUUUACCCUGAGCAUGCAGUGCACCAUCAUUUUCUAUUUUUGGUCUUUUUAUUGGUAUUUAAGAAGACAACGUAAUUGACAUUUAAUGAAAAAUAAGAGACAAAUGACUGAAACCAUUUAAACCAUCCCAUGCAAAGAAAUAUAAAUGCAAUUCAAAACCAAAACCCCACACCUUAUAUUCAAGGAAAAGAAGAAGAAAAUAUUAUAAACAUUCCUCUCUCCAAUAUGUGUCUUUGUUGUGCAGCUAAAGAUUUCUUGCAAAACUAGUUUGGAGUCCCUUGCCUCAACUUCGUGAAGCCAUUUUCUACUGGUUUUGAAAUUAAAGUAUAUG